AGAGUUUGAUCAUGGCUCAGAUUGAACGCUGGCGGCGUGCCUAACACAUGCAAGUCGAGCGGUAACAGGUGUAGCAAUACAUGCUGACGAGCGGCGAACGGGUGAGUAAUGCUUUGGAAUCUUCCCAGUAGUGGGGAAUAACCAGUCGAAAGAUUGGCUAAUACCGCAUACGUCUGUAAAGGGAAAGCGGGGGCUCGUAAGACCUCGCGCUAUUGGAUGAGCCAAAGUCGGAUUAGCUAGUUGGUGGGGUAAUGGCCUACCAAGGCGACAAUCCGUAGCUGGUCUGAGAGGACGACCAGCCACACCGGAACUGAGACACGGUCCGGACUCCUACGGGAGGCAGCAGUGGGGAAUAUUGGACAAUGGGGGAAACCCUGAUCCAGCGACGCCGCGUGUGUGAAGAAGGCCUGCGGGUUGUAAAGCACUUUUAGUGGGGACAAAAAGCUACGGACUAAUACUCUGUGGUCUUGAUUUAACCCAAAGAAAAAGCACCGGCUAACUCUGUGCCAGCAGCCGCGGUAAUACAGAGGGUGCGAGCGUUAAUCGGAAUUACUGGGCGUAAAGCGCGCGUAGACGGCUUUGUAAGUCAGAUGUGAAAUCCCUGGGCUCAACCUGGGAACUGCAUUUGAGACUGCAUGGCUAGAGUAUGGAAGAGGGAAGUGGAAUUUCCGGUGUAGCGGUGAAAUGCGUAGAUAUCGGAAGGAACACCAGUGGCGAAAGCGACUUCCUGGUCCAAUACUGACGUUCAUGUGCGAAAGCGUGGGGAGCAAACAGGAUUAGAUACCCCCGUAGUCC
RNAcentral lists this ribosomal RNA (795 nucleotides) under uncultured bacterium. Its description in RNAcentral is "bacterial SSU rRNA". It matches the Rfam family "Bacterial small subunit ribosomal RNA", at positions 8 to 796 of the family's 1533-position model. The record is from RNAcentral.